UACGGAGGGUGCGAGCGUUGUCCGGAAUCAUUGGGCGUAAAUGGCGCGUAGGUGGCCCGGUCAGUCUUUGGUGAAAGCGCGGGGCUCAACCCUGCGUCGGCCAGGGAUACUGCCGCGGCUCGAGCACUGUAGAGGCAGGCGGAAUUCCGGGUGUAGCGGUGGAAUGCGUAGAGAUCCGGAAGAACACCGGUGGCGAAGGCGGCCUGCUGGGCCGUUGCUGACGCUGAGGCGCGACAGCGUGGGGAGCAAACAGG
RNAcentral lists this ribosomal RNA (254 nucleotides) under uncultured bacterium. Its description in RNAcentral is "partial 16S ribosomal RNA". It matches the Rfam family "Bacterial small subunit ribosomal RNA", at positions 524 to 776 of the family's 1533-position model. The record is from RNAcentral.